UGGCUUAGCAGGUAGAGCUCAUGCUUUUCAUGCAUGAGGCCUUGGGUUCAAUCCCCAC
This 58-nucleotide transfer RNA is filed under the name Erinaceus europaeus (western European hedgehog). It matches the Rfam family "tRNA", at positions 8 to 63 of the family's 71-position model. From Rfam's summary of the family: Transfer RNA (tRNA) molecules are approximately 80 nucleotides in length. Their secondary structure includes four short double-helical elements and three loops (D, anti-codon, and T loops). Further hydrogen bonds mediate the characteristic L-shaped molecular structure. tRNAs have two regions of fundamental functional importance: the anti-codon, which is responsible for specific mRNA codon recognition, and the 3' end, to which the tRNAs corresponding amino acid is attached (by aminoacyl-tRNA synthetases). tRNAs cope with the degeneracy of the genetic code in two manners: having more than one tRNA (with a specific anti-codon) for a particular amino acid; and 'wobble' base-pairing, i.e. permitting non-standard base-pairing at the 3rd anti-codon position. The record is from Rfam by way of RNAcentral. Lineage: Eukaryota; Metazoa; Chordata; Mammalia; Eulipotyphla; Erinaceidae.